Molecule: ribosomal RNA, 327 nt
Filed under: uncultured bacterium
Lineage: Bacteria
Description: bacterial SSU rRNA
Rfam family: Bacterial small subunit ribosomal RNA
Source: RNAcentral
AGGGUUUGAUUAUGGCUCAGGAUGAACGCUGGCGGCGCGCCUAACACAUGCAAGUCGAACGAGUAAGACGCCUUCGGGCGUGGAUAGAGUGGCGAACGGGUGAGUAACACGUGACCAACCUGCCCCCUCCUCCGGGACAACCUCGGGAAACCGAGGCUAAUACCGGAUACUCCGGGCCCCCCGCAUGGGGGGCCCGGGAAAGCCCUGGCGGGAGGGGAUGGGGUCGCGGCCCAUCAGGUAGACGGCGGGGUAACGGCCCACCGUGCCUGCAACGGGUAGCCGGGCUGAGAGGCCGAUCGGCCACAUUGGGACUGAGACACGGCCCAG